Molecule: ribosomal RNA, 254 nt
Filed under: uncultured bacterium
Lineage: Bacteria
Description: partial 16S ribosomal RNA
Rfam family: Bacterial small subunit ribosomal RNA
Source: RNAcentral
UACGAAGGGGGGCUAGCGUUGCUCGGAAUCACUGGGCGUAAAGGGUGCGUAGGCGGGUCUUUAAGUCAGGGGUGAAAUCCUGGAGCUCAACUCCAGAACUGCCUUUGAUACUGAAGAUCUUGAGUGCGGGAGAGGUGAGUGGAACUGCGAGUGUAGAGGUGAAAUUCGUAGAUAUUCGCAAGAACACCAGUGGCGAAGGCGGCUCACUGGUCCGGUACUGACGCUGAGGUGCGAAAGCGUGGGGAGCAAACAGG